Molecule: ribosomal RNA, 252 nt
Filed under: uncultured bacterium
Lineage: Bacteria
Description: partial 16S ribosomal RNA
Rfam family: Bacterial small subunit ribosomal RNA
Source: RNAcentral
UACGUAGGGGGCAAGCGUUGUCCGGAUUUAUUGGGCGUAAAGAGCGUGUAGGCGGCUUCACAGGUCCGCUGUGAAACUCGAGGCUCAACCUCGAGCUGUCGGUGGAAACCGUGUGGCUAGAGUCCGGAAGAGGAGAAUGGAAUUCCUGGUGUAGCGGUGAAAUGCGCAGAUAUCAGGAAGAACACCCGUGGCGAAGGCGGUUCUCUGGGACGGUACUGACGCUGAGACGCGAAAGCGUGGGGAGCGAACAGG